UAUAGUUAUCAACAUACUUAACAUGGUAAUAUCAUCUCUUUUUUUGUCAGUCUCUGGUUUGUAACGUCAUCUCUCUCGUUUGUUUGUUAGAAAUAGUUUCUUAAAAGUGGCCACCUCAUAGCCUGCAUAUGUGCGAUCUCAGGUAUUUGUUGAAUUAAUAAAUAAGUUCACAGUUUAAAUUCUUUUUUCAUUUCUAGUUUCUCUAAAAUACAGGAUUAAGCAGAUGGUUUUGGGUAAUUAGAAAAAAAGGUACACGUUUUUCUUAAAAAUGGGGCAGAGAAGAUCUGUCAGUGUUCAUCUCAGCUUGUGCAUGUUUUGGCAUUUAUGGAAUUAC
RNAcentral lists this long non-coding RNA (334 nucleotides) under Bos taurus (domestic cattle). RNAcentral describes it as "long non-coding RNA NONBTAT026003". Lineage: Eukaryota; Metazoa; Chordata; Mammalia; Artiodactyla; Bovidae. The record is from RNAcentral.